RNAcentral lists this small nucleolar RNA (48 nucleotides) under Pyrobaculum aerophilum str. IM2. RNAcentral describes it as "PAEsR31". Lineage: Archaea; Thermoproteati; Thermoproteota; Thermoprotei; Thermoproteales; Thermoproteaceae. The record is from RNAcentral.
AUGAUGUCGUAGCUCGCGGCUGAUUAUGAUGUGGGGUAUACAAGCUGA